UCACAACAAUGUCAUAUUCGUGUUAAGCAUUAGCAAAUUGUGAAAUUUACGUGCUUAAAAUUGCGAAAAAACCAUGAAUUCUUAUUUGCGGUGUUGAAAGGAACUUGAAAAAUUCGUAGCAAACAGUUUGCAAAGUUAUUUCACAGUCCUUGCAACAUACAAAGACAAAUAUUAAUUGCUUGCAAAAAACAUGGCGCCCACUCCGCUGCCACUGGAGCAAAUGCCCGGUGCCAAUGCGGGCUAUCUGCCCGCUGGGCAGGAGGGAGGACCGCGCAUCAAUACCAUGUCCAUGUCAGUGCUGAUCGAUUUUAUUAUCCAGCGCACCUACCACGAGCUGAUGGUCCUGGCUGAACUAUUGCCACGCAAGACGGAUAUGGAACGCAAGGUGGAAAUUUACGCGUAUGCGGCGCGCACGCGGCAUCUAUUCACACGGCUCAACGCUUUGGUCAAGUGGGGCAACUCGGUUUCCAAGGUGGACAAGAGCUCUCAGAUUAUGAGUUUUCUGGACAAGCAGAACAUGCUGUUUGUAGAAACGGCCGAUAUGCUGGCUCGCAUGUCGCGCGAGACGUUAGUUCGGGCACGUUUGCCCAACUUUCACAUACCCGCUGCCGUCGAGGUGCUGACCACGGGCACCUACAACCGGCUUCCCACUUGCAUUCGGGAGCGUAUUGUGCCGCCGGAUGCCAUUACACCGGCGGAGAAAAAGCAAACACUUUUGCGCCUGAAUCAGGUCAUACAGCAUCGCCUUGUUACUGGGAAAUUGCUGCCGCAAAUGCGAGAAUUUCGCAUACGCAACGGACGUGUCACGUUCGAGGUGAAGCACGAGUUCAGUGUGGCCCUCACCGUCAUGGGCGACAGUCCGAAUGUGCCCUGGCGCCUGCUGGACAUCGAUGUGCUGGUUGAGGACAAGGAGACGGGCGACGGAAAGUCGUUGGUGCAUCCGCUGCAGGUCAACUACAUACACCAACUGAUACAGGCACGUCUCGUGGAGAAUCCCAACGCCUUGAGUGAGGUGUACAAUUGCCUUCAUUAUUUCUGCCAGUCGCUGCAGCUAGAGGUGCUCUAUACGCAGACGCUCCGCCUGAAUUACGAGCGCCUCGACGACAACAAUAUCACUGUGGAGGAGUAUGUGCCUGGCGUUAAGCUCACGGUGUCCUAUUGGCGCGAUCUCAAGUCGGAGCUGGGCUACCGCCUUACGGUUCAAUCGGAUCCCAGCGAAAUCGGUCGGCCGCUGGUCGUUGUUCAUGUACCCUCACUGGGCGCCAAGGAGUCCGCCGAGGUGGCUGAUCGUGCCGUGCGCUCCGAGCAUCUGUCCAUGGAGCGCUUGAUUGUGCACACCGUUUACAUACGUUCCGUGGCUCGUUUGAGUGAUCUUAAGCUCGAGUUUCAGGCCUUCCUCAAGGACGUUGACUUUAAUCUGCAAGGGACGCCGGCUAUUCUGACGGUGCCCGUGCUGUCACCCUGCUUGCGCGCGGAACAAAUUCACAUAACCAUAGACACGCACACCGGCAUGUUCCGUUGCCAUGUGCCCAAGCACUUAGAUUGUCCCAUUACGGAAGAGAUGCAGGACUGUUUAAAUACGGAUCGGAGCAAGCUGCCAGCAUUGCUAUCGGAGCUGCGCUAUUGGAUCACUCAUCGGCGCUGCGAAAAAACGCUACAACAUCUGCCCGCUACGGCCACAGAAACGUUGCCCUUUCUCACGCUGCCCGAGCAGGAGCUGCUGCAGCCGGGCCGUCACAAGAUCUAUGUAAAGCUGCAUCGCCACCCUAACAUUAUUCUGGUGGUUCAAUUGAAGGAGAAGCCUGCUAUGCCCAACGAGAUGGAGUAUACGUUUCAUUUGGGCUUUGUCGUCUUUCAAAAGGACGAAAACGAUAUUGUGGAUGACUCUGCUAAGCAACUGGUCUCCAUUGUGGCUCAACCGCCAUCAGAGAUUCCCAAAUUGUACACAAAACUGAUGCGUCUCAUCGAGUUUGACACAUUUGUGGCCACCCAUGGACCCGGCACAGAGGUCGAUGCUGAGGUAUCACCGCAUAAGCGUAAAUCAAAUGGCGACAUUCUGGCACCGCCCGCCAAGCAGCAGAAGACCAUUUUUCCGGCAUAUUUCAUACCGGAGCUGGCGCAUGUCGUAGCCAUGUGUGAUGAGAAGAUACCGUUCCUCAAUCUGGCACAGACGCUCUCCAAGCACCGCAUACCGCAUAGCGGCCUGCAAGUGGAGGCGAAUGCCACCUCGCUGGUGUUAAAGAUUCUGGCGCUGCCCCAGCCAGGCAUCAACAACCAGGGAACGACAACAACUGGCGAGCAGAAGCCAACGCCAGCGCCAAGCACAUCGUCUGCGUUUCCCAAGAUCGAGCCGCAUGUCUGGGACGAUCUAAUGCGACGCGUUCUGUCCAUUUCGGUGCGCUCUCAGACCAAUAAGAAUAGUCAGGUGCGCAUCUGGGUGGUAGAAUUUGUAUUCUAUAGCACACCGCUGCAGAGUACCCAUCAGAAGGAACUGGGCAGUCGUCGCACCAUCAACCUAACCUACGAGCAGGCCAAUCAUGAUUUUUCCAAAACGGUCGACGAUUUGCUUAACGACUGGUCCAAGAUAGUGUACCUAUAUACGCUGGUUUAUGAUUUUGCCGAGCAGCUGCGCAACAAGCGACUCAGCCUGGGAGAUAUGCUGGUGGUCAAAUCCUAUACGUAUGCCAACUUGCUGCUGGGCUAUGGACCCAAGAAGGAAGUCACCUGCAAUAUCUACUGGUCCGUGCAGUCGCACGGCUUUCGCCUGACCUUUGUGGGCGGCAUCUCAGCGGUCAACGCGCACUCCAUGAUGCGUGAUCAGCUGGCGCAGCAUCUGAAUCAACAACACAGUCUCACGACCAUCGCUCACAUACUGCAUGAGACCUAUAAUCCCAUGAGCUCCAUAGCCAAGCUGCCUGUUUUGCCACUGCUGGGCAUACCGCGGCCGCAGGUGCCCGUGCUGUCGUUCUGCAUGCUGCCACAGUCGCCCUGCCUGAUGCGUCUGACCUACCAGGCGGUGUAUUGCUUGGAGUUGCGUUUCCGCGCCAACCGGCUUGUCUCCAUACGCGAUGGCGCCAGCAGCCGUUUUGAGCGCAACGUCAUCGAGGAGUUUACGCCCAUUCAGGGCCUCAAGGCAUUCUUGUCCAAAUAUGUGGAUGAGUCUGCCGUUUACAGAGGUCGUGCGCCGCACGACGAUGACAAUCCGCUGUCGCCGAUGGGCCUGGAGGAUAACUUUGGCGGUCCGAGCAGUGUGACUGGUGUGAGCGCGGGUGGUUCUUCGCCAUUUUUGAGCGCCGGCAUGCGUGGUCCGCAGUCCCCACGGGAUAGUGGUCUUCGCUUUCCCGCACCCCAUACGCCGCCCUCCAGCUCAAAUCCGCACACACCGGCCAGUCCGCAUCCCAGCGCUGGCGGAGGCGGCGGCGGUGGGGCUCAGAGUCAUGCCAAUUUUAAUUUGACAUCGCCACCAGCACCGCAUAUGCCGCAUCCGUCACCUGGCGGACUGAUGCCCUCAUCGCCGCUGAAUCCUCAGCCCAGUCCACACAUGGUGCACAGUCCGGGACCCAAUACGCUGUACAUGCAAAGCCACCAGGAUUCGCCUUUUACAGCCAUGUCGCCGGCAAACAACAAUUGGCCAGGAUCGCCCAGCAUGCCGCGCCCUUCACCCCGGCCCGGACAGAGUCCAGAGCACAAGAGCACAGGUGGCGGCGGCCCAGGUGUCGGCGCUGCCGAUCGAAACGUCACUCGUGGCACACUCAACCGGCCCUGGGCUGGCGCUGUGCCCACGCUGCUAACGCAUGAGGCACUCGAGACGCUGUGCCGUCCCAGUCCGCACCCCAACAAAGACAUCAAUGUGGCCGACAUGAGUCCACUCGAACGCUUUUUGGGCUGUGUUUAUAUGCGCCGUCAGCUGCAUCGCAACAUCCAGAGCGAGGAGACAUUAACGGCGCUCAACUCCACGGAACCGGGCGUGGUGCUCUUCAAGGUGGAUGGUCUGCAGUGCCAGGUGAUGCUCAACCAGCUGCACAUGCAGUCGCUGCAUCUGAAGGUUACCCAGUUGCCGCCCAUGCCCGACAAGCCCACUUUCCAGCUGAGUCCCGAUGAUCUGCUCGUAAUCGAGCAAUACUUCGACACCCGGGUCGCUGCCCCGCCCUAUCGUCCGAAUGCGCUGCACAGCAUUUGCCGAUUGUUGAACCUGCCCGGUCAUGUGCUCAAGGAUUUCGUGCAGAUCAUGCGAUUGGAGAUGAAGCCCGAGCUCGGCGGCGAUCAGCUCAAGUGGACAGUGCAGAUGUGCAUGCGCAUGUCGCCCUCGGCGAUGCCCAUUGUGCCCAUUGGCAGUGCCUGUGUGGUGCUGGGCCGCAUGAAGAUUCUGUUCUUCUUGCACAUCACACGCAUACCGUACAACGGCAAGGACUGGAAGGACAGUCCGUCCCUGGUGCUGCCCAUUGUCCACGACAUUGCCACAAAUCUCACCCAGGUGGCCGAGCGGCGGGAGCAGGUGCAAUCGCCCACAAUGUCUGCUGCCAGCGCGCUGCUGCGUCGCUUUGCGGACUUCGGGGUGCAGCAGAAUCAGUGCUCGCUCUUUCCGGCCGUCACAGAGCUGCUGACCAAUCUGCAGAUCACCACGGAUCUGCCGCCGCCGCCGCCAAAUCAGCCCAUCGGGCCGCCUGUAGGUGUUGGUGUUGGAGUGGGCGUGGGUGUGGGCGUUGGUGUUGUGGGCUCUAGCCCGAAUACGAUGAUGCCCAUGCAGCAGCUGCAGCCGCAGGUCGGACAUGGGCCGCAGCUUGGCCCGAAUCCUGGCGGUCCUCAGUGAUGAAGGCGCAAGCGCCGCGCCUCCUCGCAGCAGCCAUGAGGCGGCAUCCUGGCGCAAUUGCGACCAACCCACUGAGCACACACAGACAUACACAAAUUCCCAAUUAUCAUCCAAUUAUUUAUUGAUUAAUACGAGACAAAUUUCAACAUUCACUUGCGAUAACAUGCGACGAGAGUCAAAAUCAAGAUCAAGCUACAUCGUUUAUCACAUGUGCCAGCUGUCUGGAGCUGUCGAGCGUUUCUGUGACUCUGCUUGCUCCGAGGAAUCUCAGGAAAUUUUGUGUGGAAAUGUUCUAUAUGGAAUAUAUAUUUGGAAGUCCCUGACACAAUUAGUCUUGCUUAAAUAUAUAAGGAAAAUCGCUCUAAAAAUUGGCCAAGACUGACAAAUUAAGGACUUCAAUGACCUCUAAGGACCUCCACGACUGAUAAAGCAAAUUUUUCCAGGAUCGGACUUUAAUUAUGGCAGAUAUAGCUAUUUUAAGUUCAAAUAGGCAACAAUUAUAAUUUAUUCUCGUUUUGUAUAAUUUUAAGAGAAAUAAUUAAGAAAAUUAGCAUUAAAAUUCAACAAUUUUGUAAAUUUAAACAUAAAUAAAUCAAAUAUUUAUAAUAAAACAAAAAAA
This is an RNA transcript of Drosophila montana, 5429 nucleotides long. It is a transcript of the gene named mediator complex subunit 14, with no coding region annotated. Lineage: Eukaryota; Metazoa; Arthropoda; Insecta; Diptera; Drosophilidae. The record is from RefSeq and is a predicted model, not a curated record. The transcript has 11 exons.